This 646-nucleotide unclassified non-coding RNA is filed under the name Hevea brasiliensis (rubber tree). Lineage: Eukaryota; Viridiplantae; Streptophyta; Magnoliopsida; Malpighiales; Euphorbiaceae. The record is from RNAcentral.
CGAGACGCUCAGCACGCCCUACGACAUCGGCGACCAUCAGCUCAUGAUCGGAGCGAGCGUCGGCAUCGCCGUGGCGCCCACCGAUGGUCACGACCCAGACCAGCUUCUGAAGAAGGCCGAUAUGGCUCUUUAUCGAGCCAAGGCGGAUGGCCGGGGCAAGUACUUNNNNNNNAUGGACGAGAGAAUGCAAGCUCGUCGAGCGCUUGAGGUCGAUCUCCGCAAGGCUCUGGCGCGGGAGGAGUUCGAGGUGUUCUAUCAGCCUCUCGUCAACCUUCAGACGAACGAGGUCAGCAGCUUCGAGGCGCUGCUGCGCUGGCGACACCCCGUGCGCGGCAUGGUUGGGCCCGACAAUUUCAUACCGCUUGCGGAAGAGAUCGGAUUGAUCAACGAAAUCGGAGCCUGGGUGCUGAAACAGGCGUGUUCGGACGCCAUGGGAUGGCCCGAUCACCUGAAACUCGCCGUUAACGUAUCUUCUCUUCAAUUUAGGAGUAACAGGUUAUCCCUCGAUGUCGUGGCAGCCUUAGGUCAUUCGGGACUGCCUGCAAGCCGGCUUGAAAUUGAGAUCACCGAGACCGCGUUGUUGCAGGAUACGGAGGCGACCAUCGCGGUCCUGUAUGAGCUUCGACAACUCGGACUCAGCAUCGCC